RNAcentral lists this long non-coding RNA (433 nucleotides) under Equus caballus (horse). RNAcentral describes it as "lncRNA (ENSECAG00000056812.1)". Lineage: Eukaryota; Metazoa; Chordata; Mammalia; Perissodactyla; Equidae. The record is from RNAcentral.
AGCGAUGUUCAUUGCAAUCUUUAAUUUGUUCUAAAAAGGGCAGCAAGAAUACUUCUUCAUGACCUUAAGAAUAAUCUUGGUCUUGCUAACGUGCUUCCUAAAACUUGAUGGGAAAUGAAUAUUUUGAGCCACUGUUUUAGAGUAGAAGCCCAUUUAUCCAGUGGAAUCUGGAUGUGGUGAGGAGUGAGUGAGAUGCUGUGUCUGUUGGAUAUUCUCCAUUUGUCCUCCAAAUCCACUCUCCCAUCUUCUACGCACUUCUGUGCCCUAGGUCCUGACAUUUAUCAACCAAAUCAAUGGACAAGUCUACUCUCUGCCUUCGGGAUUGGUUUGGAUCCUGACUGCUACAACAUGAAAAGUCCCUGGCACUAUGCCUGGCACCUAAUAAAUGAGAGUUUCUUCUUUAAAACGAUGCCUGCAAAUGACUUCCUCAAGC